This 468-nucleotide ribosomal RNA is filed under the name uncultured bacterium. Its description in RNAcentral is "partial 16S ribosomal RNA". It matches the Rfam family "Bacterial small subunit ribosomal RNA", at positions 28 to 507 of the family's 1533-position model. The record is from RNAcentral.
GACGAACGCUGGCGGCGUGCCUAACACAUGCAAGUCGAACGGAAAGGCCCUGCUUUUGUGGGGUGCUCGAGUGGCGAACGGGUGAGAAACACGUGAGUAUCCCGCGCCUGACUUUGGGAUAACUUCAGGAAACUGGGGAUAAUACAGGACAGGAGAUCCUGCUGCACGGGGGGGGUUGGAAAGAUUCGGAGGUUGGGGAUGGACUCGCGGCUCAUCAGCUUGUUGGUGGGGAAGUGGCUUACCACGGCUUUGACGGGUAGCCGGCCUGGGAGGGUGACCGGCCACAUUGCGACUGCGGUACGGCCCGGACUGCUACGUGAGGCAGCGGUGGAAAAUCUUGCACACUGGGCCGAGGCCUGGUGCAACAACGCCGCGUGCGGGAUGACGGCUUUCGGGUUGGAAACCGCUUUCGCCUGUGACGAUGCGUGUGUGACGGUAACGUGUCAAGAAGCACCGGCUAACUACGUG